UAGCUCAGUUGGUAGAGCAGUAGACUCUUAAUCUAUUUGUCCAGGGUUCGAGUCCCUGAAG
RNAcentral lists this transfer RNA (61 nucleotides) under uncultured Enterocloster sp. It matches the Rfam family "tRNA", at positions 8 to 63 of the family's 71-position model. From Rfam's summary of the family: Transfer RNA (tRNA) molecules are approximately 80 nucleotides in length. Their secondary structure includes four short double-helical elements and three loops (D, anti-codon, and T loops). The record is from RNAcentral. Lineage: Bacteria; Bacillati; Bacillota; Clostridia; Lachnospirales; Lachnospiraceae.